CCCAACCCAAUGUGACGUUACCAAACUGUUGCCUCGGCGGGAUCUCUGCCCCGGGUGCGUCGCAGCCCCGGACCAAGGCGCCCGCCGGAGGACCAACCAAAACUCUUUUUGUAUACCCCCUCGCGGGUUUUUUAUAAUCUGAGCCUUCUCGGCGCCUCUCGUAGGCGUUUCGAAAAUGAAUCAAAACUUUCAACAACGGAUCUCUUGGUUCUGGCAUCGAUGAAGAACGCAGCGAAAUGCGAUAAGUAAUGUGAAUUGCAGAAUUCAGUGAAUCAUCGAAUCUUUGAACGCACAUUGCGCCCGCCAGUAUUCUGGCGGGCAUGCCUGUCCGAGCGUCAUUUCAACCCUCGAACCCCUCCGGGGGGUCGGCGUUGGGGAUCGGCCCUGCCUCUUGGCGGUGGCCGUCUCCGAAAUACAGUGGCGGUCUCGCCGCAGCCUCUCCUGCGCAGUAGUUUGCACACUCGCAUCGGGAGCGCGGCGCGUCCACAGCCGUUAAACACCCAACUUCUGAAAUGUUGACCUCGGAUCAGGUAGGAAUACCCGCUGAACUUAAGCAUAUC
RNAcentral lists this ribosomal RNA (560 nucleotides) under Trichoderma harzianum. RNAcentral's name for it is "eukaryotic LSU rRNA". The stretch from base 185 to 338 matches the Rfam family "5.8S ribosomal RNA". Lineage: Eukaryota; Fungi; Ascomycota; Sordariomycetes; Hypocreales; Hypocreaceae. The record is from RNAcentral.